Molecule: ribosomal RNA, 322 nt
Filed under: uncultured Actinomycetes bacterium
Lineage: Bacteria; Bacillati; Actinomycetota; Actinomycetes
Description: bacterial SSU rRNA
Rfam family: Bacterial small subunit ribosomal RNA
Source: RNAcentral
GACGAACGCUGGCGGCGUGCUUAACACAUGCAAGUCGAACGGAAAGGCCCCUUUGGGGGUGCUCGAGUGGCGAACGGGUGAGUAACACGUGAGUAACCUGUCCUAGUCUUUGGGAUAACCUUCGGAAACGGGGGCUAAUACCGGAUAUUCCCGCAUUGUCGCAUGGUGGUGUGGGGAAAGUUUUUGCGGAUUGGGGUGGGCUCGCGGCCUAUCAGCUUGUUGGUGGGGUGAUGGCCUACCAAGGCUUUGACGGGUAGCCGGCCUGAGAGGGCGACCGGCCACACUGGGACUGAGACACGGCCCAGACUCCUACGGGUGGCAG